UUUUUACUCUUUGUAUUGUUUAUAAAAUCAGAUUGUGUAGCGUACAUAUAUUUUAUAAAAGUUCAAUUUCGGCUUCUUAGUGGCAAAAUUCUUAGUGUGUUAACUUUUCGGCCGUACCGCGUCACGAUCUAAACUUAAUUUGCAAAAAAAAUACUCUUUCAAUAUACAAUAUAUAUAUAUAUGUAUAUGUGUAUAUAUGUAUAUAUAUAUAAUUAAUACAAAAAAAAUUUCGCAAUAGACCAAAUCAAAAAUUUUUUUAAAUUUCGUGUUCCCUUUUCGGCCAUUGCAAGCUCCAAUCAAAAUAACUAGGCAAGUAAACAAUAAACAGGGCAAAUAUAGCUAAGCAGAAGACAAAGAGACAGUGCAAAAGCAAGAAAGAGAAGAGAUAAAAGAAACUCAAGUGAACAAUAA
This is a long non-coding RNA of Drosophila navojoa, 411 nucleotides long. Lineage: Eukaryota; Metazoa; Arthropoda; Insecta; Diptera; Drosophilidae. The record is from RefSeq and is a predicted model, not a curated record.